CUGGGGUCUGUGGGAGACGCUGGAAAGUUCCAUGGAGUGGAGAGAGUUGGUACAGAAUGUGAAACUCUUUGGGAGGGAAUCCUUGGUGUUGCUGUGGGACAUGAAGCAGCGCAGCCAGCAGCCUGGGCCUCAUAUUUUGCAGAUGGCUCUGGGCUGUGACCUCAAGGAGAAUGGCAACUUCAAGAGCU
RNAcentral lists this long non-coding RNA (188 nucleotides) under Ictidomys tridecemlineatus (thirteen-lined ground squirrel). Its description in RNAcentral is "lncRNA (ENSSTOG00000030481.1)". The record is from RNAcentral. Lineage: Eukaryota; Metazoa; Chordata; Mammalia; Rodentia; Sciuridae.